ACUGGGGCAGCCGCGGGCGCCGGCGCAGGAAGCCUCCCUUCCCCCUCGGCCCGCCGGGCCCGGAAAGGCGGGAGCUGGGAGGAAGCUUCGCGGCGGCCGAGGCUGCGGGAGAGGACGAGCGCGCCCCAUUUUCUCCGCGGAGCCGCCCCCAGCCCUCCUGACCUCCGCGCCCCUUUAAAUCCUCCGCGGGUCUCCCCGCCCUUCCUGCUGGGAUGGGAGGAGACCUUAGCGGACGGUGCUCUGCCUGUGCGGCCAGAUGAAAGGGGGACUGGGAAAAUGAAGCCAGCUCUUGCCGGUGGGCUGGGGGCGGCAGGAAUCCGGAGCUCUGGCCGCUGGCGGCACUGGGCUUGAGGGAAGCGGCGGCACGGGAGGCGUCCUCGGGAGCCGGGGUCUCACGGUCCAGGGAACGCCCCCGCCGCCGGCUUGCUAGCGAGGCAUCCCGUGAACAAAGAGGCCUGCUUCACCCUACUGGGGCGAUCGCCCCCCGGAGGGAAGGGUUUCCACCUUGCACGGCACUCGCGCGUUUUGUCUGUUGGUUGUGGUGAGGAGGGUGUAUUGCAGAUCCAAAAGGAGCCUCUCGGCCUCCCAGGGUGUCUGGGUCAGAAUUGAGACGUUCUGGGCGAGGAGGUGUUGGGAGGGGAGUAGGAGGUCGGAAGGAGAGAGGCCGACCCAGUUAGCUCUGUUCACACCGUCCCUCUCUAGGAGCGGAGCCUACACCUGACUUGUUUGGAAUGUGAGCUUUUGCAGGGGACAGAGGCCCUGGCACGUAGAAAGUUCUAAACUGUCUGGUGAAUUGCUGCAAUUAAAACCAGAGCGGCUCCUUCAGUUGUCCUGGGUGGGCAGGGCAUCCCAAAGAAACACAGAAAGUAUGCAGGGUCCUUUGAAAAUAGUGCCCAUAUCAAACAAAAUAUUAAUACUUCGCAUUUGUAAAGUCCUUUCCUCUAAGAAUGUUGUCUCGUUCCAUAUAUAUUUUCCACUCCAUAAAAUUCUAGAGCACAAAGAAAGGAUUCAUAUGGGAGCGAAUAGAACAAGUAAAGACGGUCAGCUGUGGUCACAGUGGAGGAACUGAAGAGUUUAGACUUCACCAGCUCUUAGAGCCCUGUUUUCUUUGAAGUGGUUACAACCGAGUACUUUGGUGUGGCCUAAAGAGUUUGAAGGGUCUUUAGGAGCUCGCUCUCUCCUCUGCCAUGUGAGGGUACAGCAAGAAGGCGGCCAUCUGCAAGCCAGAAACAAAGCCCUCAACAGAACCUGACCAUGCUGGCACCCUGAUCUCAGAUUUCCAGGCUCCGGAACUAUGAGAAAUACAUUUUUUUGCUUAAACCACUCUGUGAUAUUUUGUUAUGGCAGCCAGAGCAGACUAAGACAAAUAUGUCUUCGCUUGGAGCUAAGCGCCCCUCCUACCACCUCCACCACCUGGCGUUUUGUUCAGCACUUCCACAGUUGUCUCAUUUUUAAUUUGUAACCGUGUAAGUUGGAAUUGGCAAGAUUUAUUUUAAAAUGAAGAAGCUAAGAAACAAAAAGAUUAAAAGGCCUGCUGAAAGUCACACAGAUUGUGAAUGACUGAACUAGAACUAGAGUCUCCCCAGACAACAUCUAGUCCCUAGCAUCUGCCAGGUUCUGGGCUAGAUUCGAGGGAUAAGGAGAUGAAUAUGAUUUAGAGGUGGAGAGGGUACAGUCUGGUCAAGCAAAGAAACGUGAACAAAUCAUUACAUCAAGUAGAAAAGUCUGCAAGGAUUCAUUGGCCCAGCAGGAUGUAUACUCCCCUACCCACCCCCUGCUAUUAUGAUGGAAUUGGCGGUCUGGUGAGACACAGUGAGAGGAUGAUUUCCAGCUAACACAGCUGUGGCUUGAUCUCCAGGGCCCAGAGUCUCUGGAGAUUCUUUGCAAGUCUCGUGGUCAGGAAAUCCAAAUCUCUGCUCCUUCUUAGCAGGCUGUAGCAUUCCCACUCACAGUUCUCUCCUUAGCAGUCAGAUUCUUCCCGAGGAAAAUAAUGAACAUGAGAGUCCUCAAGAGAGGGUGGAGGGAGGGGAGACAGAGAAAGACCCAGACAGACAGAAAUGGAAAGACAAAACAGCUACAGCGCUGAAGGAAGUAUCUGUGCCACAGAAGACAGGCAGAUCCUGUGACUGGCUAGAAAGAACGAACCAGAUGUGGAUCAACAUAGAGAAAAACUCAUGGAUGGUAUCUUGGAUUCUGGAAGAGGAUCAAGUGUAGAGAGUACCAAAGGAAAUCCUACACUUCAGAGACAACAUCAGUGUUUGCACAGAGGGAACAAAAUGGUUUUUCUUUUACCUCACAGCAUGCAAGUUUCCAACAGCUGCUCUGCCCCGACUUGAGAGGUGGAAUGGGUUGAAGAACAAGCAGGUGGGAACACAUGGCUUUCCGCACAUCCCUGAAUUCUAGAAAAACUGAAAGGAGCCUUGUCUUGGCAUCUGAUAGAACGAUUGGGCUGGGGCAACCUUGCAGAGGCCCCAUUCAUAGGGAAAAAGCAGAGGGCUGGGACCAGGACUGCCUUGGUGCUAAAUGGAUGGAAAAGGGGCAGCUGUCUCACCAUCCUGUAAGUUAGGGAUAUGGCUUACCACACAGGCCUAGAGGCUUCUUGUGACCAGGUCCCAGAAAACUUUAUUACAUAAAAAGUAGAUUUACUGCAAAUAUCCCAGAUGAUAACGGUUUGCCUCUAUGUCCCCACCCAAAUCUCAAGUUGUAAUCCCCAGUGUCAGGGGAGAGAAGUAAUUGGAUUAUGGGGUGGUUCCCCCAUGCUGUUCCCAUGAUAGUUUUAUAAAUGGUAGUUUUUCCCGCGCUUACACGUGCCCUCACCUGCUGCCAUGUAAGACGUGCCCGCUUCCCCUUCCACCAUGAUUGUAAGUUUCCUGAGGCUUCCCCAGACAUGCGAACUGUGAGCCAAUUAAAUCUCUUUUGUCAGUUACCCAGUCUUGGGUAUUUCUUUAUAGUGGUGUGAAAACGGACUAAUAUAAUACACCAGGCCAGCUCUAUGCCAGUCCCCUAAAAGAAUCACCUGCUAGAGAUGCUCAGUAGCAGUGCUGGGUACCAGCCCUUCUUCCUGCAGCUUCCAAAAGCUGAUAGCCAAUACUCUAUUUCACCUGCCCAUAAGUGGGCAGCAUCCGGUGAUAGAGGCUGCUGCUGGUCUGGAGAGGAAAGAGGAGAGGCCCUUUCAGGAAUGCAGUCCCUGGAGGUUUCUCCUUCCCUGCCUGAAGGAUUCCAGAGGUCUGAGAUAAACCCCAGGCUGUAGUCCAGCAAAGAGCUUUGGGCUGUAUUCCUCUGGGAGACAGCAAUUGCUAGAGAGAGAUUUUAUUUUAAAACCCCCAUUCCCACUGCGGGAGGGAGCAGUGGUAGCAGGCAUUGGGAAAAACUGUGUUUGAAUCAGGAAGGAGGCAUUCAGCUAGAUGUGCGUAUCCUUUCACACUUUCUGCUCUUCCACAUUUGUUCCCUAUCGUACCCUUAAGAAUUAUUACUGAAAAACUCCAAGGGCAUGUGUUAAGAUCACAGUGAUUCCUAACAUCAACUCUCCUUCUAUGUUUUUUCCUCCCAAGGCUUUCCACUGGGUUGAAUUUUAAAUUUGAACAAUGGUUCAAAGGCUGAGAGACAAACUGCUCAUUACUGGAAAGAGUGCCAGGAAUCCUGGGAAGCAGGCCUCCCUCCCCACCGGAGCACUGCACCUCAUAGUAAUGGCCUCUUUCAUAGUCACGGAAAGGUUGGAUCAGCGUUUCUUUUCAUUCCUGUCUUUUUUCAGGGACUGCUGGGAUAAAAGGAAGUCUAGAAGAAUAAAAAAUUCACAAACAGGAGAAGAAUAAAAUAUUUAGGGCAAGAGAUCAGAAAUCCUUUGGUUAUUCAGUGAACUGAACUAACUCUACUUUUUUUUAAAAAAGUACAAGGAAAUAAAUGUCCAUCAAAUGCCAUAUCACAGUGGGAUUAGCCUGUCGACCCCAUCACACAGGAUCUGAGGCUAGGUUAUCAUGCCUAGUAAGUUGCAGUAAGAGAGACUCAGACUAACCCAGUGAUAAGAUGGAACAGUUUUAUAAUUAUUAAUUUCAUUCCCAAUAUUUCUGACAUCUUUAUUCUGAGAAGCUUUCCACCAAAGUUGUCAAAUGACCCAUUUCCUCUCACUUCACACUCCCAAAUCCAAUCAGUGAUGAGUAGAAGGAAUGGAAAGGUUAUUUGGUGCCAUAAAGAAAACCCAGUCACCUUGGAGGAGCAAUUCAGGCUUUCCAUCAUUAGUUCCCAUCGCCAAGAACAAAUGAUGGUUUCUAAAAGGGAAGACAGGGUUAAAACAACAUGGUUGAGAAGUACAUACUAGGCCGGGGGCAGUGGCUCACGCCUGUAAUCCCAGCACUUUGGGAGGCCAAGGC
RNAcentral lists this long non-coding RNA (4367 nucleotides) under Homo sapiens (human). RNAcentral describes it as "non-protein coding lnc-STX6-6:3". Lineage: Eukaryota; Metazoa; Chordata; Mammalia; Primates; Hominidae. The record is from RNAcentral.